GGACAAUGGGCGAAAGCCUGAUCCAGCAAUACCGCGUGUGUGAAGAAGGCCUUAGGGUUGUAAAGCACUUUCAAUGGGGAGGAAAAAGAGUAAGUUAAUACCUUGCUUAUUGACAUUACCUAUAGAAGAAGCACCGGCUAACUCC
This 145-nucleotide ribosomal RNA is filed under the name uncultured bacterium. Its description in RNAcentral is "partial 16S ribosomal RNA". It matches the Rfam family "Bacterial small subunit ribosomal RNA", at positions 366 to 504 of the family's 1533-position model. The record is from RNAcentral.